AGGCAUUAAACAUUACGCGCGACCAGAACAUCGGUCUGUCGGUUCAGUCGCAAAUGUGAGUCGCGGUGUCAGGGCAUUUUGCUAAUUUUUUUCGUGCAUUCAUUUCAUCUGGGCGUGAGUAGAGCCGACGGGGCAUUUUGCUUGAUAUUAGAAUUAGAAGCAAAGGUGUGCGGUGCACGCACAGCGAAAAAAAUGAUGGGAGGGGAGAGGGAAGGAGAAGGGGUAUAUGUAUUUGCAGCGCGAUAUGGAACAUGUGCGAUCAUUCCAG
This 268-nucleotide long non-coding RNA is filed under the name Carica papaya (papaya). Its description in RNAcentral is "long non-coding RNA (CPAP_LNC016130)". The record is from RNAcentral. Lineage: Eukaryota; Viridiplantae; Streptophyta; Magnoliopsida; Brassicales; Caricaceae.